RNAcentral lists this ribosomal RNA (574 nucleotides) under Taphrina caerulescens. Its description in RNAcentral is "eukaryotic LSU rRNA". It matches the Rfam family "Eukaryotic large subunit ribosomal RNA", at positions 62 to 648 of the family's 3401-position model. Lineage: Eukaryota; Fungi; Ascomycota; Taphrinomycetes; Taphrinales; Taphrinaceae. The record is from RNAcentral.
AAACUAACUAGGAUGCCUUCAGUAACGGCGAGCGAAGCAGGCAUAGCUCAAAUUUGUAAUCUGUCACCUCUGGUGUCCGAGUUGUAAUUUCUAGAAGCGAGUUCGGCGACAGCUCCUACCCAAGUCCGUUGGAACGCGGCGUCAUGGAGGGUGAGAAUCCCGUGAAUGGUAGGAUGUCUGCUGCUAUGUGAACCGCCUUCGAAGAGUCGAGUUGUUUGGGAAUGCAGCUCUAAUUGGGAGGUAAAUUUCUUCUAAAGCUAAAUAUUGGCCAGAGACCGAUAGCGAACAAGUAGAGUGAUCGAAAGAUGAAAAGAACUUUGAAAAGAGAGUUAAACAGUACGUGAAAUUGUUGAAAGGGAAGCGCUUGAGAUCAGACUUCCUGUCUGGACUGUCCUUGCUUUUGCUUGGGUCAACAGUCCAGGCGUGGAGGCCAGCAUCAGUUUUGACGGCCGGAUAAAGGCCUUGGAAAGGUAGCUCCCCUCGGGGAGUGUUAUAGUCCAGGGUGUAAUACGGCCAGUUGGGACUGAGGACCGCGGCUUUUGCCUAGGAUGCUGGCGUAAUGGUCUUAAGCGAC